UUUCCGUAGGUGAACCUGCGGAAGGAUCAUUACUGAGUGAGGGCCCUCUGGGUCCAACCUCCCACCCUUUUUUAUUGUACCUUGUUGCUUCGGUGAGCCCGCCUCACAGCCGCCGGCGGGCAUCUGUCUCCGGGACCGCGCUUGCCGAAGACACACUUGAACUCUGUUUAAAGUUUGCAGUCUGAGCGAAAACUAAAUAAGUUAAAACUUUCAACAACGGAUCUCUUGGUUCUG
This 234-nucleotide unclassified non-coding RNA is filed under the name plant metagenome. RNAcentral describes it as "partial contains small subunit ribosomal RNA, internal transcribed spacer 1, and 5.8S ribosomal RNA". The record is from RNAcentral.